This 456-nucleotide ribosomal RNA is filed under the name uncultured bacterium. RNAcentral's name for it is "bacterial SSU rRNA". It matches the Rfam family "Bacterial small subunit ribosomal RNA", at positions 1 to 507 of the family's 1533-position model. The record is from RNAcentral.
ACGAGUUUGAUCCUGGCUCAGAACGAACGCUGGCGGCAGGCUUAACACAUGCAAGUCGAACGCUCGUAGCAAUACGGGAGUGGCGGACGGGUGAGUAACGCGUGGGAACGUGCCCUGAGGUACGGAAUAACUGAGGGAAACUUCAGCUAAUACCGUAUGAGCCCCGAGAGGGGAAGAUUUAUCGCCUUGGGAGCGGCCCGCGUCGGAUUAGCUAGUUAGUGGGGUAACGGCCUACCAAGGCUUCGAUCCGUAGCUGGUCUGAGAGGACGAUCAGCCACACUGGGACUGAGACACGGCCCAGACUCCUACGGGAGGCAGCAGUGGGGAAUCUUGCGCAAUGGGGGCAACCCUGACGCAGCCAUGCCGCGUGAACGAUGAAGGCCUUAGGGUUGUAAAGUUCUUUUACCCGUGACGAUGAUGACGGUAACGGGGGAAUAAGCUCCGGCUAACUUCGUG